RNAcentral lists this ribosomal RNA (226 nucleotides) under uncultured bacterium. RNAcentral describes it as "partial 16S ribosomal RNA". It matches the Rfam family "Bacterial small subunit ribosomal RNA", at positions 28 to 253 of the family's 1533-position model. The record is from RNAcentral.
GACGAACGCUGGCGGCGUGCUUAACACAUGCAAGUCGAGCGGUAAGGCCCUUUCGGGGUACACGAGCGGCGAACGGGUGAGUAACACGUGGGUGACCUGCCCUUACGCUCUGGGAGUAAGCCUGGGAAACUGGGUCUAAUACCGGAUAUGACUCCAUGACGCAUGUUGUGGGGUGGAAAGCCUUGUGCGGCUAGGGAUGGGGCCUGCGGCCUAUCAGCUUGUUGGU